Small nuclear RNA from Bison bison bison, 126 nucleotides. Lineage: Eukaryota; Metazoa; Chordata; Mammalia; Artiodactyla; Bovidae. The record is from Ensembl.
GCAUUGUAUGAAAGGAGAGAAGGCUAGCACUCUCCUUGACAAGGAUGGAAGGGACUCUCGGGCCUGACAGCAUGCAUAUGGCUGAGGCAUUGCCACUUACCUCGUGGCAUCGAACCACUGUUUUUA